This 1027-nucleotide ribosomal RNA is filed under the name Tannerella forsythia. Its description in RNAcentral is "bacterial SSU rRNA". It matches the Rfam family "Bacterial small subunit ribosomal RNA", at positions 28 to 1100 of the family's 1533-position model. The record is from RNAcentral. Lineage: Bacteria; Pseudomonadati; Bacteroidota; Bacteroidia; Bacteroidales; Tannerellaceae.
GAUGAACGCUAGCGAUAGGCUUAACACAUGCAAGUCGAGGGGCAUCGAGGGUAGCAAUACCUGUCGGCGACCGGCGCACGGGUGAGUAACGCGUAUGUAACCUGCCCGCAACAGAGGGAUAACCCGGCGAAAGUCGGACUAAUACCUCAUAAAACAGGGGUUCCGCAUGGGGCUAUUUGUUAAAGAUUUAUUGGUUGCGGAUGGGCAUGCGUACCAUUAGGUAGUUGGUGAGGUAACGGCUCACCAACCAUCGAUGGUUAGGGGUUUGAGAGGAAGGUCCCCCCCUGGUACUGAGACACGGACCAGACUCCUACGGGAGGCAGCAGUGAGGAAUAUUGGUCAAUGGGCGAGAGCCUGAACCAGCCAAGUCGCGUGAAGGAUGACUGCCCUAUGGGUUGUAAACUUCUUUUACAGGGGAAUAAAAUGAGAUACUCCGUGCCAGCAGCCGCGGUAAUACGGAGGAUGCGAGCGUUAUCCGGAUUUAUUGGGUUUAAAGGGUGCGUAGGUGGGCUGUUAAGUCCGCGGUGAAAGUUUGUCGCUUAACGAUAAAAUUGCCGUUGAAACUGGUAGUCUUGAGUAUAGAUGAAGUAGGCGGAGUGCGUGGUGUAGCGGUGAAAUGCAUAGAGAUCACGCAGAACUCCGAUUGCGAAGGCAGCUUACUAAGGUAUAACUGACACUGAAGCACGAAAGCGUGGGUAUCAAACAGGAUUAGAUACCCUGGUAGUCCACGCAGUAAACGAUGAUUACUAGGAGUUUGCGAUAUAGUGUAAGCUCUACAGCGAAAGCGUUAAGUAAUCCACCUGGGGAGUACGCCGGCAACGGUGAAACUCAAAGGAAUUGACGGGGGCCCGCACAAGCGGAGGAACAUGUGGUUUAAUUCGAUGAUACGCGAGGAACCUUACCCGGGAUUGAAAUGUAGACGACGGAGAGUGAGAGCUUUCUUCCCUUCGGGGCGUCUAUGUAGGUGCUGCAUGGUUGUCGUCAGCUCGUGCCGUGAGGUGUCGGCUUAAGUGCCAUAACGAGCGCA